RNAcentral lists this ribosomal RNA (468 nucleotides) under uncultured bacterium. Its description in RNAcentral is "partial 16S ribosomal RNA". It matches the Rfam family "Bacterial small subunit ribosomal RNA", at positions 28 to 507 of the family's 1533-position model. The record is from RNAcentral.
GACGAACGCUGGCGGCGUGCUUAACACAUGCAAGUCGAACGGAAAGGCCCUGCUUUUGUGGGGUGCUCGAGUGGCGAACGGGUGAGUAACACGUGAGUAACCUGCCCUUGACUUUGGGAUAACUUCAUGAAACUGGGGCUAAUACCGGAUAGGAGCUCCUGCUGCAUGGUGGGGGUGGGAAAGUUUCGGCGGUUGGGGAUGGACUGGCGGCUUAUCAGCUUGUUGGUGGGGUAGUGGGUUACCAAGGCUUCGACGGGUUGCCGGCCUGAGAGGGUGACCGGGCACAUUGGGCCUCAGGAACGGCCCAUACUCCAACGGGGGGCAGGAGUGGGAAAUAUUGCACAAUGGGCGGAAGCCGGAUGCAGCAACGCCGCGUGCGAGAUGACGGCUUUUGGGUUGGAAACCGCUUUCGCCUGGAACGAAGAGUGAGUGACGGUAAUGGGUAAAGAAGCACCGGCUAACUACGUG